RNAcentral lists this ribosomal RNA (433 nucleotides) under uncultured bacterium. Its description in RNAcentral is "partial 16S ribosomal RNA". It matches the Rfam family "Bacterial small subunit ribosomal RNA", at positions 29 to 507 of the family's 1533-position model. The record is from RNAcentral.
AACGAACGCUGGCGGCAGGCCUAACACAUGCAAGUCGAGCGAGGACUUCGGUCCUAGCGGCGGACGGGUGAGUAACGCGUGGGAACGUGCCCUUUGCUUCGGAAUAGCUCUGGGAAACUGGGAGUAAUACCGGAUGAGCCCUUAGGGGGAAGGAUUUUUUGGCGAAGGAUCGGCCCGCGUUGGAUUAGGUAGUUGGUGGGGUAAUGGCCUACCAAGCCGACGAUCCAUAGCUGGUUUGGGAGAAUGAUCAGCCACACUGGGACUGAGACACGGCCCAGACUCCUACGGAAGGCAGCAGAGGGGAAUCUUAGACAAUGGGGGAAACCCUGAUCUAGCCAUGCCGCGUAAGCGAUGAAGGCCUUAGGGUUGUAAAGCUCUUUCAGCUGGGAAGAUAAUGACGGUACCAGCAGAAGAAGCCCCGGCUAACUCCGUG